Sodiomyces alkalinus F11 is the source of this 87-nucleotide non-coding RNA. NCBI's taxonomy places the organism in Eukaryota, Fungi, Ascomycota, Sordariomycetes, Glomerellales, Plectosphaerellaceae. The record is from the annotation of a RefSeq genome assembly.
GUCUGCAUGGUGUAGUGGUUAUCACGUUUGUCUUACAUUUGAUGUGUAGCACACAAAAGGUCUCAGGUUCAAUCCCUGAUGCAGACA